Non-coding RNA from Nicotiana tabacum (common tobacco), 3151 nucleotides. NCBI's taxonomy places the organism in Eukaryota, Viridiplantae, Streptophyta, Magnoliopsida, Solanales, Solanaceae. The record is from RefSeq and is a predicted model, not a curated record.
AAAAAGGCAUAUCUAUCAAGAACAAAGGGAGAUUCAAAACCAAAAUCCAACCCGUUAAAUUGAGUAUUCCGAUUCAAAGCGAAAUUAGGUUUUGUUUGGUAACUCCGAAUCCCAGAGAUUUUGGGAUUUAUUUGUCAGCAUAAGAAUCUUGGCGACACAAUUCUUUAUUGAAAGUGAGGUUAAUUUUUGUUUCAAUUCCCAGCUUCUGAAAUUUGAGUGAGUUUGACAAGCUUAGAGUGUGAUUAUGGUGAAACGUUUAAGGAAAUUGUGCGAUAAACGUGAGCUAUCUGAAGAUAUCAAAAUUGAAAUAUUGCAUCGUUUGCCUUCAAAAUCUCUAGAUAGGUUUAAAUGUGUAUCCAGAAGCUGGCAAAAGUACAUUUCUGAUUCAUCUUCAAGUUAUAGCUGCCGUUCUCGACGAUGGAGGCCUCGACCCGAAUUAAUUGGUAUUUUUUAUCAAACCCGAAGACUUUCCAAAAUUGGCUUCUUCUCCGAAUCAAAGAAAUCAUCAUCGAAAAACAUUGAUUUAGAUGAGUCAGUUAAUUUUCUUAACAGGAAAGUAUAUAUUGUUGCAUCAUCCAAUGGUUUUCUUCUUUGCACUAAACAUAGAAGAAGCCCUAGGGUUUAUUAUGUUUAUAAUCCUGCCACGAGGCAGCAUUUGGCUCUCCCUAAAACUCAAAUCUGCAUGGAGAACGGCACAGCUGUUGGAUUUAGUUGUAAGGUAGACGACUCUGAUAAAGAUGUCAUCUCCUUUACUAUAGUUCGUUAUGAAAUACCUCGUCGUUUUGAUGAGCUACAGUCCAGUGUAACAAUGUGUGGACUGCCAAUAAUUUAACUCUGGAUGUACCUCUUAGAUUAAACCCUUUUAACUGGGAUGGGAUAUUUAGAUCAGCUGCAUCAGCUGGUGUCAUUGAUGGAGUAUUUUGUUGGCUUGAUCAAGGUGGACAGAUCACUUUUUAUGAUAGUGUCUACAAGUGUUUCUGGGCUUUGGAAUUGCCUGAAGAGAUGGUGUUCGGAAACAGUUGUUAUCUUGGAUUAUCUGGUGGGGCUCUCGAUUUUGCAUUGAAUUGUGGGGAUGCCAUUACCGUGUGGCGCCUCGAGAGCGAUAUUUGUAGUCGAGAUGCAGUAGUAUGGGUUAGGAAGUACGAUGCAGAAGUCGCAGCUACAGUGAUGCAAUGUCCGGAUGCAUUUGGACUUGGAGGCGACACUCUCCGUGUCAAGGCUUUCGGGCUUACAGGCUCUCUUAGUGUUGAGGUGCAGAACAUGGUUAUUCAUCCUGCUGUUCCUUACAUUUUUUAUUUGGAAGUAAGAGGCAAGGUUAUUUCUUAUGACUUGGAAACGGAUAUUGCACAACUUGUGUAUGAUUUUGGAGAACCUUGGUGGAGAACACAACACUACAGAUUAUUUGCUUAUGAGUGGCAUCAAUGGCCACGUCUUGUGUAGACUAUGGAUUACUCGUCUUGGUUAUUCUCUAGCAUUGAUGUGUACUUCUUUUAAUGACAAUUUCUGUUAUGGUUUUACUCGUCUUGGUUUUACUUCAUAUUUUUUUAUGGACUUCUUUCUUUUUAUUUAUGUUAAAUCAUUUAUUUGAUCCUUGAUUGUACUCUAUUGUGAAAUCUAAUAAAAACAAUAAGACUAGAAUAUGAGCCUUAGCUUCUCACCAAUCAAAAAAAGAUGAGCCUUUGCUUCAUUUGAGAUUCCUACUAAAAAAAGUCAUUGCCUCAGAAAAUACAUUUAUAAAGUUUGAUGGAUGGAGAUGAAAGGGAUGGUCAUAUUUAUACAAACAUCUUUCUUUAUUCAUACUUUUUAAUGGUUUUCUUUCCACUUUUCUCAUUUUACUCUUUUAAUACAAUGCUCCAACCAUUGGUACAGAUUCAUACCGUUGGCUUUUUCUCACAAUGGAGGUGAGUGUAAUAUCUCAUUUUAUAAGGCAAGUUAGUGUUACUGAGUUAAAGGAUUUCCGUACAUGUUGGGGUAAAAUAUGUAUCAAGCCAAUUUAAUAUAAUGUACUAUCAAUUUCAUCAGGAUAGAUUGAAAAGAUAAUAUUUGAUGAAGAAAAACACAAUGUUGGUUUUCCUGUUUUGCAAUGAUUUUUAAAACUUUUUGGUCCUGUAGACUAUCACUUUCAAUGAGGGAUAUGUGAAAAGUCUGUUGCACUGGUUCGUUGUGGCUGUUGAUGAGCCAUCAACAAAGCCUCUUGUUCUUUGGCUUCAAGGAGGUCAAUAUCUCUUUCCCAACUUUUUUCCCUUUUAUUCCAUUCUAUUUCUCAUCUUUUAGCUUGAGCUAGUUUGACUACAGUGUUUUGAUGAUUUUUUGUUGUCUAUAUCAGUUAAAAUAUGAUCAAAUUCCAUUUUCUUGAAAUUGUAUGAUUUCCUCCUCUAAGAUUGGAUAAUUUUCUGAUAUUUAGCAGCUAUCCUCCGGAAUUAGUCGCGGUGCAUGCAAGCUGGCCCGGACACCACAACUAGAAAAACAAAAUCUGAUAUCGGGAUACUAAUCUGCGGUUUUUCCGCAUUACUUUUGCACAUUCUUUCUAAAAGGCCUUGAUGUUCAUUGAUUGUCUAUGGACUAGCUGAGGAAGUUGGACCUUUUCAUAUUGAGAAAGAUUGGAAGUACCCUUUAUUGGAACCCUUACUUUCGUAACUUAGAUGCAAACCUAUUAUUUCCCGACUCUCCUGUCGGAGUUGGUUAUUCAUAUUCAAACAUUUCCUCUGGUCAUCUCAAAUUAUGGCGAUAAAGAGUACUGGUAGCUAUUGGAUCUGUUUGUAUCAACUUUUUUCCUUCCAACGAUGAAUGAUAUUUCACCUGUUUACAACAUGCUAUAAAUUUGUACCUUCAAUUAUUGUGUUGCAGCUGAAGACUCCCUAGCUUUUUUUCUCAAGUGGUUUGAACGGUUUCCAGAAUAUAAAGGAAGAGACUUUUAUAUGUCAGGAGGGAGCUAUGCUGGUAAACUAUUUGUCUAACCACUAAUUGAACUUCUGUUCCCACACAUUUUGUGAUUAGCUGUAUUCAGCGGGAAAAAAAAAGUUUGUUCACCUCCAUCAUUUACUAUAUGCAUCUGAUUAGAUGUUUCAAGCCAAACUUUAGGUCUUUGAGGACGUGUUUACUUUCAGCUAAAUUUGCUGAAUGAAUUGAAGCAAUUUUGAUAGUGAAAUCA